AGAGUUUGAUCCUGGCUCAGGAUGAACGCUGGCGGCGUGCCUAACACAUGCAAGUCGAACGGAGCCUAAUCAGCAGAAGCGGACAGCUUGCUGGAAGCGGAAGCAGAAAAGGCUUAGUGGCGGACGGGUGAGUAACGCGUGGGUAACCUGGCCCAUACAGGGGGAUAACACUUAGAAAUAGGUGCUAAUACCGCAUAACAACAGAAAGCGCAUGCUUUGUGUUUGAAAACUGAGGUGGUAUGGGAUGGACCCGCGUCUGAUUAGCUGGUUGGCGGGGUAAUGGCCCACCAAGGCGACGAUCAGUAGCCGGCCUGAGAGGGUGGACGGCCACAUUGGGACUGAGACACGGCCCAAACUCCUACGGGAGGCAGCAGUGGGGAAUAUUGCACAAUGGGGGAAACCCUGAUGCAGCGACGCCGCGUGAGUGAAGAAGUAAUUCGUUAUGUAAAGCUCUAUCAGCAGGGAAGAAAAUGACGGUACCUGAUUAAUAAGCCCCGGCUAACUA
This 505-nucleotide ribosomal RNA is filed under the name uncultured bacterium. Its description in RNAcentral is "bacterial SSU rRNA". It matches the Rfam family "Bacterial small subunit ribosomal RNA", at positions 8 to 503 of the family's 1533-position model. The record is from RNAcentral.